GACGAACGCUGGCGGCGUGCUUAACACAUGCAAGUCGAACGGAAAGGCCCUGCUUUUGUGGGGUGCUCGAGUGGCGAACGGGUGAGUAACACGUGAGUAACCUGCCCUUGACUUUGGGAUAACUUCAGGAAACUGGGGCUAAUACCGGAUAGGAGCUCCUGCUGCAUGGUGGGGGUUGGAAAGUUUCGGCGGUUGGGGAUGGACUCGCGGCUUAUCAGCUUGUUGGUGGGGUAGUGGCUUACCAAGGCUUUGACGGGUAGCCGGCCUGAGAGGGUGACCGGCCACAUUGGCACUGGGAUACGGCCCAGACUCCUACGGGAGGCAGCAGUGGGGAAUAUUGCACAAUGGGCGGAAGCCUGAUGCAGCAACGCCGCGUGCGAGAUGACGGCCUUCGGGUUGUAAACCGCUUUCGCCUGUGACGAAGCGUGAGUGACGGUAAUGGGUAAAGAAGCACCGGCUAACUACGU
Molecule: ribosomal RNA, 467 nt
Filed under: uncultured bacterium
Lineage: Bacteria
Description: partial 16S ribosomal RNA
Rfam family: Bacterial small subunit ribosomal RNA
Source: RNAcentral